GAUGAACGCUGGCGGCGUGCCUAAUACAUGCAAGUCGAGCGAACAGACGAGGAGCUUGCUCCUCUGACGUUAGCGGCGGACGGGUGAGUAACACGUGGAUAACCUACCUAUAAGACUGGGAUAACUUCGGGAAACCGGAGCUAAUACCGGAUAAUAUAUUGAACCGCAUGGUUCAAUAGUGAAAGACGGUUUUGCUGUCACUUAUAGAUGGAUCCGCGCCGCAUUAGCUAGUUGGUAAGGUAACGGCUUACCAAGGCAACGAUGCGUAGCCGACCUGAGAGGGUGAUCGGCCACACUGGAACUGAGACACGGUCCAGACUCCUACGGGAGGCAGCAGUAGGGAAUCUUCCGCAAUGGGCGAAAGCCUGACGGAGCAACGCCGCGUGAGUGAUGAAGGUCUUCGGAUCGUAAAACUCUGUUAUUAGGGAAGAACAAAUGUGUAAGAAACUAUGCACGUCUUGACGGUACCUAAUCAGAAAGCCACGGCUAACCACGUG
Molecule: ribosomal RNA, 497 nt
Filed under: uncultured bacterium
Lineage: Bacteria
Description: partial 16S ribosomal RNA
Rfam family: Bacterial small subunit ribosomal RNA
Source: RNAcentral